RNAcentral lists this unclassified non-coding RNA (491 nucleotides) under uncultured Glomus. Its description in RNAcentral is "SSU rRNA". It matches the Rfam family "Eukaryotic small subunit ribosomal RNA", at positions 569 to 1067 of the family's 1831-position model. Lineage: Eukaryota; Fungi; Glomeromycota; Glomeromycetes; Glomerales; Glomeraceae. The record is from RNAcentral.
AGCAGCCGCGGUAAUUCCAGCUCCAAUAGCGUAUAUUAAAGUUGCUGCAGUUAAAAAGCUCGUAGUUGAAUUUCGGGAUCAAUAUGUUGGUCGUGCCUCGGUACGUACUAGCUUAUUGGUUUCUCCCUUCUGACGAACCAUGAUGUCAUUUAUUUGGUGUUAUGGGAAAUCAGGACUGUUACUUUGAAAAAAUUAGAGUGUUUAAAGCAGGCUCACGCUUGAAUACAUUAGCAUGGAAUAAUGAAAUAGGACGUUUGAUUCUAUUUUGUUGGUUUCUAGGAUCGACGUAAUGAUUAAUAGGGAUAGUUGGGGGCAUUAGUAUUCAAUUGUCAGAGGUGAAAUUCUUGGAUUUAUUGAAGACUAACUACUGCGAAAGCAUUUGCCAAGGAUGUUUUCAUUAAUCAAGAACGAAAGUUAGGGAUCGAAGACGAUCAGAUACCGUCGUAGUCUUAACCAUAAACUAUGCCGACUAGGGAUCGGAUGAUGUUAAU